This is a long non-coding RNA of Magnolia sinica, 1503 nucleotides long. RefSeq lists it as uncharacterized. The record is from RefSeq and is a predicted model, not a curated record. Lineage: Eukaryota; Viridiplantae; Streptophyta; Magnoliopsida; Magnoliales; Magnoliaceae. The transcript has 4 exons.
CUGAGAGAACGGUCCUUGAUGGAGUGCAAUGGGAGAACAGGAUUCAUGUAGCUGAUUCCAGUUGGUCUUCAGAUGAUGUUGAUCUUCUUGGCAGUUAUCUGUUUGGAUGGUGAUGGUUGCAAGUUAAGAAGUGGACUGGUGAAAAUUGAGGAAGGUUUAACUCUUGACACGUUAAUUGCUUGUGAUUCAUGUGAUCUUUAAAAUUUCAGCUACUUGAAGGUCAAAUCCAUAAAAAAAUGCUUCAAUCAUAGUCGAAUGUGAAAGGUUCAGUGACCCCAUCAGGGACCAACACUCGAAUCGAGCCGAAGAGCCUGGCUUCUCUUUGCAUUCCAUAGUGUGCAUGGUAAAGGUAUGUUCCUGGCUGCAAUAUGUUUAAAGGAGUAAAGGUGAUUUAGAGACCUUACUAAUCCAAUCCUCAAUUACAAAGAUAACAAGCUGUAUGAUAACCGUGGCAUAUAUUGUUCUAUGUAAUGGAGAGCAUUCAAAUCACUGACCUGAUUUUGGAUGGAGUAGAACCAAAGUAAGUUAUAUGGAUGGAUUGUUCCCUUGGAAUUUGUACUAGUUGUUACUGUUUUGCUUUUAACCAUUCAUUUUGAUAGCUAUGCCAUUCAUGCUUUGUUUGAUAGUCUAAUUUGUAUUCUUUUCUUUCCUUAUUUUAGGUGAUCAAAGUGAUCUGCAUGUUAUCAUUUUUUGAUGAAAUUGAUGCUAUUUGCAAGGUUGCUAUCUACACAUGUGAAGAGUGUGGGUUUGAAAUUUACCAAGUAAUAAUGCAUUGUCUGCACAUGUGGCUUUAAGGGAUCGUGUGAAGUUCCUUUCUUCUUCUUUUUUUUGAAAGAUGAGAAAUUUAUUGAAAGAAUGAUGAGAGCUAGGAUUGUGUGAAGUUCUUUUUAAAGCUAUAUGUUUGAAUUGCCUAUCUGUUUUGUACUCUGCAAUUCUGCAUUUGCUGUGUACUUGUAUGUAGCUGAUGAUCCUAGCUCUCUGUUGCCAGUAGAUAUCUUACAAAAUAUAUCAUCUCUAGAUCAUCUGUACAUAUUUUUAACAUGUUGAAUACAAAAUAUAGCAAUGCUUUGAUAAUCAGACUAUUAAUGAUAUGAAUAAAGGCUUAGGAAGACAAGUGGGGUUCAUCAAUAUGAAGUUUGUACUAGGCAAAGGAUCUAUUAUUCUUUGCUCUUAAUGUAAUGGUUAGGACUUACAAGUCAAUAAGGACAGGAAGAGUUUGUUGUUUGCUUGCAAUGUUGUGAUUAUCUGCUUUUGAAAUUUUCAAUCUCAUAGGCUCUUGGAUAAACUUGAUGGUUUGAAGGGUUGCCUUUUGGCCAGAUGGUCAUAGAUAAGAAACUCUACUGGAUAGUUUGGGAUAACAGUUAUCUUUUUUAUGGUAGGUAUCUACCACUAUGAUCUCCUUUGGGAGGGACACUUCUUUAUUCUUUUUUACCCUUUUACUUUUUCUUUUCACUUAUUUUCCACUCUAGAUAGAAAGGCAUUAUUGUUGAAACAAAGGUAAUU